UAUGUGAUCGUCUCUCGCAUAUCAAUAAGCGGAGGAAAAGAAACUAACAAGGAUUCCCCUAGUAACAGCGAGUGAAGCGGGAAGAGCUCAAAUUUGAAAUCUUAAAGGGUUUCCCUUUACGAAUUGUAGUUUAAAGAAGUGUUUUCUGUUGAGGUUUUGGUAAAAGUUCUUUGGAAUAGGACAUCAUAGAGGGUGAGAAUCCCGUAUUUGACCUUUACCUUUCAACUUUGUGAUACACUUUCAAAGAGUCGGAUUGUUUGGGAAUGCAGUCCAAAAUGGGUGGUAAAUUUCAUCUAAAGCUAAAUAUUGGCGAGAGACCGAUAGCGAACAAGUACCGUGAGGGAAAGGAUGAAAAGAACUUUGAAAAGAGAGUCAAACAGUACGUGAAAUUGUCAAAAGGGAAGCGUUUGACACCAGUGUUGUUUUUCUGAAAAUCAAUUAAAGAACUGUUUAUGCUAAGUUGUUUAGACUUUAUCAGCUAACUGUUUAGUUUUGAGCUUUUCCUUAAUGCACUUUUCAGUUAACAAGUCAACAUCAAUUUCUUUUGCUGUAAAAAAGCUUGAGGAAGGUGGCUUGAGAUUCGUCUUAAGUGUUUAUAGCCUCUUGCCUAUGCAGUCGGAGAGAUUGAGGUCUGCAGCGUAGAUCCUUCGGGGCUAAAUGCAUUUGUGCUAAGUUAUAGCAUUUUAUAGACAACUUGUUGACUAUGAUUUGUCUUGUAGCUUACUCGCUUAUGUUAUUUUACCUACGCUUAGGAUGUUGAGUCAUCACACAUCUCU
RNAcentral lists this ribosomal RNA (776 nucleotides) under uncultured Neocallimastigales. RNAcentral's name for it is "partial large subunit ribosomal RNA". It matches the Rfam family "Eukaryotic large subunit ribosomal RNA", at positions 24 to 614 of the family's 3401-position model. Lineage: Eukaryota; Fungi; Neocallimastigomycota; Neocallimastigomycetes; Neocallimastigales. The record is from RNAcentral.